AUUGAACGCUGGCGGUAGGCCUAACACAUGCAAGUCGAACGGUAACAGGAAGACGCUUGCUUCUUUGCUGAUGAGUGGCGGACGGGUGAGUAAUGUCUGGGAAACUGCCUGAUGGAGGGGGAUAACUACUGGAAACGGUAGCUAAUACCGCAUAACGUCGCAAGACCAAAAAGGGGGACCUUCGGGCCUCUUGCCAUCGGAUGUGCCCAGAUGGGAUUAGCUAGUAGGUGGGGUAACGGCUCACCUAGGCGACGAUCCCUAGCUGGUCUGAGAGGAUGACCAGCCACACUGGAACUGAGACACGGUCCAGACUCCUACGGGAGGCAGCAGUGGGGAAUAUUGCACAAUGGGCGCAAGCCUGAUGCAGCCAUGCCGCGUGUAUGAAGAAGGCCUUCGGGUUGUAAAGUACUUUCAGCGGGGAGGAAGGGAGUAAAGUUAAUACCUUUGCUCAUUGACGUUACCCGCAGAAGAAGCACCGGCUAACUCCGUG
This 490-nucleotide ribosomal RNA is filed under the name uncultured bacterium. RNAcentral's name for it is "partial 16S ribosomal RNA". It matches the Rfam family "Bacterial small subunit ribosomal RNA", at positions 30 to 507 of the family's 1533-position model. The record is from RNAcentral.